AGUAGUGGAGGAAAGAAAAGAAAAAUGCAAUAAAAUGCAAUUUAUGACAUCAAUGUGAUGUCAUUUGUAAUUUCCAACCAAUCACACUUAAGCACCCAUUUAACCAACAAAUAAAAUAGAUAAAUAAGACUAAAUAAAGACCAAAAGAAGACCAAAAACGUGGGCAGCCAUCUCCUUCUCCAUUUCAGCCACACCAUAGCCAAGAAGCAAACCUCCAUUGUUCUUCCUCACUCAAGCUUGAAGAUCUCUCAACCCUCACCCCAAAACCCUAAGUUAUCUUCACAAAAAUUAACCUAUACACCCUAAGCAAGCUCUAGGCAGCCACAAAGAGG
RNAcentral lists this unclassified non-coding RNA (332 nucleotides) under Hevea brasiliensis (rubber tree). The record is from RNAcentral. Lineage: Eukaryota; Viridiplantae; Streptophyta; Magnoliopsida; Malpighiales; Euphorbiaceae.